AGAUUGAACGCUGGCGGCAUGCCUAACACAAGCAAGUCGAACGGGAGUAGCAAUACUCUAGUGGCGGACGGGUGAGGAAUACGUAGGAAUUUGCCCUUAAGUGGGGGAUAACCCGGGGAAACCCGGAUUAAUACCGCAUGACCUCGAAAGAGCAAAGUGGGGGAUCGCAAGACCUCACGCUUUUGGAGAAGCCUACGUCGGAUUAGCUAGUUGGUGAGGUAAUGGCUCACCAAGGCGACGAUCCGUAACUGGUCUGAGAGGAUGAUCAGUCACACCGGAACUGAGACACGGUCCGGACUCCUACGGGAGGCAGCAGUGGGAAUAUUGGACAAUGGGCGCGAGCCUGAUCCAGCAAUGCCGCGUGUGUGAAGAAGGCC
RNAcentral lists this ribosomal RNA (377 nucleotides) under uncultured soil bacterium. Its description in RNAcentral is "bacterial SSU rRNA". It matches the Rfam family "Bacterial small subunit ribosomal RNA", at positions 26 to 416 of the family's 1533-position model. The record is from RNAcentral.